Macadamia integrifolia is the source of this 2002-nucleotide long non-coding RNA. RefSeq lists it as uncharacterized. The transcript is spliced from 3 exons. NCBI's taxonomy places the organism in Eukaryota, Viridiplantae, Streptophyta, Magnoliopsida, Proteales, Proteaceae. The record is from RefSeq and is a predicted model, not a curated record.
GGGUUGGAAAUAAAAUCAGUAAUUACUUGUCUUUUAUUUCAUGCCUUUUAUUUUCCAGAUUUGAAGGUAGGAUUUACGAUUUACUUCCUUGUAUUGGUUUCCUUUUAUUGGUUGUUUCCUAGUUUAGGCUAGUUACCAUUUUAGUUAAGUUUCUAAUUCUAUGUCUUUACUUUCCUAUAUAUUGGCUGUAACUGAUGGACAAUGGAGAGUGAUUUUUGAUUAUUGAAUGAAGAUGUUGAGUUUGUGCACUAAUGAUUGUGUGAUUCCCCUCCUUUCCCCUCUAUACUCUGAUUUCCCCUUCUCUUCCCUAAGGCCCUCCAUCAGAUGUAGUGAAAAUUGAGGACAGAGGGAUACCGCAAAGUGACUAUUUUAGAUAUUUUGGAAACAGUUUUUCCUACGAAGCAUGAGAGAAUUAAAGUAGAUGGAUGAAGUGGAGAGGUGCGACUGGAGUUCAGAUUCUGUUUUGUGGAGAAGGUUAGGUUGGAGUAUUCCCAUUGGUUGGAAGCUUUGAUUUCUUAUUUGUUGGAUGAUGUAAGAGCUCUAAUCAUCCAAUUACAGGCUUCUACGGAGAAACUAUAAAUAUAUGUACUAGCCAUAGGCCCUUCCUCCCCAUGAUUUGAAGAUUAAAGCUUUUGAGUUUCUAAAAUCUGGUUUUGUGGAUUCAGAACAACCUGUCUCUGUGGAUUCAGUAAUGUUUACCAGGUGGAUUCUCUUCAUAGGAUCCGGUGGACUCCUGGCAUGGGUUGAGGUGGUUUCCUAACUUGUGCUAUCCUUCUAUCUGUUCUUCUAUCUAUCUAUCAAGAGCACGCAUCAGAUCUGACUAUGUUCCUGAUGCAGUUGCUGAUUUUCUGAUCUUCUAUUAACGUAUUCUGUUAAAGAGAUUAGAACACCAUCAAUUUCCUUUAUGGAGUCUUACAAAAUGUGAUGACACUUCCCAAAAAAUAUAAUAUAUUGGUGAUGGGGGAGCAGAAGUAGCCAGUGAAACAAUAUUGUUGGGACUACAAUUAGUAAUGUCAUCUUCCUGAGCUCCGAAGCUGAAGAAUGCCGAAGGGCCAUAUAAUGGUGCAAGUCCCUCUUUUGCAAGGAGGGGUGGAAUAGAGAUGGUCCUUACCUUUGGAAUUUUUGCAUGAAGUGGCCACUCUCAUGACCUAGAUUCAUGCCAUUCUGCUGCAGCCAAGCUUUUUAUCCAUGCAGCAAGCAGGCAAGCAUGCCAAGGUGAUGGCAUGCUUUGUUCGAGGCAUGAAAGGUGACCACUUUGGAUGCCUAGGAAUCGCCUCGUGGCCUUGUGAGUUGUGACAACAUGCCUUAUAAUUUCUCUAUUUUUUGACACUUAACGAGUUUACACUGAUUUAUGUUUAUUGCUUUGCCAUAUAUUAUAUCCUAUCCUUUGCUUAUUAUAUGCUGGUUUUUAUCAUAUUAGGUUAUUACUAACAUAAAUACAUCAUAUUGCAAUGACAUGGAUUCUAUGUUGCAUCUAAGAAUAAUCAUAGAAAAUUAUCAUUGCCAUUACACCUAGGGCUCUAUACAAGCUCUCAAUGCCUUUGCUCGACAAGACGACAACUAUGCUCUCUCUCUCUCUCUGUAGGUAUUUUUUAGGUGGAUCACCUGGUUCUCCUUGUUUAUUAAUCUCUCCUAGGUCAGUCAUGUUGAGUUAUGACUUAUAAUCUGCCUGAUUGGAACCAUUUCUGCGUCCUGAACAAUCUCGAAUCCCUUCAUUGAGUGCAUUGCGGUGUAAGAGUAUGAAAACACUUUUCAUUAGGCACUAGUCCUUAAACUCCCAACUCAUAAUAGUAGGUGAAUACCAGACUUUUGUUUGCCUUCCUACUGAAGAAAAUAAGCAUCCUUAGACUGUUAUUAAUGCAAAUAUGACCAGAUUUUUUUAUUUCAUACUAGAUUUUUUUUUUCCCUUCAUAUGUCAAGGUAAUCCUAUGGCAGAUUUUGAAUGUUAUGAAGUGCUUCAAAAGGUUUUGGAAGGGGUUUAAGUGACUAACUAUUCAUUAUU